Molecule: ribosomal RNA, 243 nt
Filed under: uncultured bacterium
Lineage: Bacteria
Description: partial 16S ribosomal RNA
Rfam family: Bacterial small subunit ribosomal RNA
Source: RNAcentral
GUCCUCGCUGUAAACGAUGCAUACUUGAUGUAACUGGGCUCAACCCUGGUUGUGUCGAAGCUAACGCGGUAAGUAUGCCGCCUGGGGAGUACGCCCGCAAGGGUGAAACUCAAAAGAAUUGACGGGGCCCGCACAAGCAGUGGAGCAUGUUGUUUAAUUCGAUGCAACGCGAAGAACCUUACCCAGGCUUGACAUAUAGAGGAAGGUAUCAGAGAUGAUGCUGUCCGCAAGGUCUCUAUACAG